This 173-nucleotide unclassified non-coding RNA is filed under the name Physaria fendleri (Fendler's bladderpod). RNAcentral describes it as "sequence contains ITS1, 5.8S rRNA gene and ITS2". The record is from RNAcentral. Lineage: Eukaryota; Viridiplantae; Streptophyta; Magnoliopsida; Brassicales; Brassicaceae.
UGUAACAAUUUUUNUUCCCCCCUCAUCUUUAGGUGAUCCGGGACGGAAGCUGGUCUCCCGUGUGCUUUACGCAAACGGUUGGCCAAAAUCCGAGCCAAGGACGCGGGAGCGUUCCGACAUACGGAGGUGAAAAUUGAUCCACUCGCAUUCCAUCGGUCGCUCCUCUNCNGAAG